This is a non-coding RNA of Nelumbo nucifera (sacred lotus), 2289 nucleotides long. The record is from RefSeq and is a predicted model, not a curated record. Lineage: Eukaryota; Viridiplantae; Streptophyta; Magnoliopsida; Proteales; Nelumbonaceae.
GGACGGUGUGAGGUGCGCUGUGCUGUGUGUUUUGUGUCUGUAAUCUGUUGAGUGUUGAUCCUCGUCUCGAAGUCACAAAACGAUGAAAAAUGUAUCCACGGCUUCUCUUCCGGAGCCCAAAUCGUUGCAGCAGGGAGAACCGAUUUAUCGUAAUUAAUCAAGAAUGGCACUGCGUGUCGCAGAAACCAGUUUGCUCGGAUUCUUUUACCAUCCAAUUCUUUCCAUUUCUCUGAAAUCCAACAAACUUUGUAGCAACGCAUGUUGUCUCUUCUUUUGUGGUAGUACCAAACAAUGUUUCAGUAGUAGUAGUACAGCAUCCACACCGAAGGAAUUUUCGGGGAAGAACGCUUACGACGUGUUGGGGGUUUCAGAAACCAGUACCUUAGCUGAAAUGAAGGCUUCUUUCUUUAAAUUGGCUAAAGAAACCCACCCGGACCUUGUUGGCUCCAACAACGAUCCCACAGCCUCCCAACGAUUCGUCCAAAUCCUUGCAGCUUAUGAGAUUCUUUCAGAUUCUGAAAAGAGGGCUUGCUAUGAUAGGUAUCUAUUCUCUCAGAGAGAGGUUUUACAAAAACGUCCGGAAAGAGGUUCUGCUAUGUUCAUGUAUGAUACUCAUAUAACAACAACCAAGCAUAUGGAAGUUGUUGAAUGGCUAAAAUGGUAUAGGUUUGCUAUAAAUGACAUUCUGUUACAGAAGAAGAUGGUAACUGGAUCGGGGUAUUUUGACAUACUUGAGGGGGAAUUUUAUUCAGCCAUUCAUGCAGCUUACUAUGGCCCCAUAAUUGAGUCAAUGGACUUUCUUCCAGAAUGUUUCGAAGCUGAGGAAAGGUCUACAUCUGGAACCCCUGAGGUACUCCAUUUGGUUUCAGGGCGUGAUCUUUUGGGUAUUGUAUGCAUACCCAACAAGUUUCCUGAAUUAUCAGAUGUUCAUUCUGUAAAGUUAGCUUCUUCUAUGUCUAAGUCAUAUGGGAUUUGUCAUUCUGUCAACCAUACACAGCUUUCGAUGAAUGCUCCAUCUUCAGAUAAGGAAGAGAACCCACAAAUGCAAUUCAGAUAUCAAAAUGGCUGUGAUUCAGAUGUUUACAAAGACUUAGAACUGCAUAUUUCAGGGAAAGUGGUUGCUGUAGCUACUAGAAUUCCUCCUAAAAAGUCUUACAAUGAUAUUCAUGAUGAAGAUUCUCAAGACCAGAUACAUGUUUUUCUUAAUUCACAUGAAGAUCCAAUAUAUGCUAGCAAAACUCCUUCAAUGAACUCCUUUUCAGGCAGUUCAGUUAGAUCUGGGAUUCUAUUGGGAACAAUAAUCGGAUUGGGGACCAGUCCAGAGGAAGACUCAUGUUCUGUCUACAAUAACAGCGGUACAAAAACUCACAUGAUUAUGAAACAUAGAACAUUGCUGGUGAAGCAUAUGCAUUGGUAUCAAGUUAGAGAUGAUGUUUCUGUUUGCGAAUGUAGAUGCAGUAGAGCCCAGUUACCGCCUAGCAGAUUUUGGCUGUUUGAACCUCGCUGCAGCAUGCAUGACAUUGGUGGUUGGUAUGUUGAAACAUUUGGACGAGAUAAGAAAGGGAGGACAGUACCUUCCCAAAGACUGUGGCAUGGCUUUGAUACAACUGAACUACCUGAAAAGAGACUCCAUCCUGCAAUGUAUUUGCUUGCUCUUGCAUAUAGAACUCUUGAUCUUGAAGAAGCAAAACGAAGGAAACGAACAGUUAAGAACAUUCUUGAGCCAAAACUUUUCAGCAUUCUUCAUUGGUGCAAGAAACUUGUUUACUGAGGAUAUAUGGAUUAUCAGGGACGUGAAGUGUGUCUGAGCUGAUCACUAAGCACAAGCCAUUAACCUUUGUAUGCAUAUCCUGAGCAUUAAAGAUGGGUCGUGAUAUAUGUGAAGUUUGUUUAAUCAGUUGUGUUGCCUUGCGUCUUCAGGAUGUCAUGACUUCGAGUCAAAGUGUUGUGCUCCAAUUGAUUCUUGGACAUCUCUCCGAGAUGCUUCUCAGUGAAUGAGUGGCUAAUACCAGAUCAAAGAGGAAAAUGAGCUGCAUUCUAUCAAUAUCACGUCCAUGUGAAAGCUUUGAGCUUAUUUUUCUACUUGUACAUCUAGAAAUAAAACGUUUUGAGUAAAAUGGAUAAGAGAGACUCACCUCGUUUUGAACUUGAGAAGUGCAUUAUUAAAUUGUACUCUUGUUGUAUGAAUUUCCUUGGGUCUUUUUUUCCAUCUAUUUAUUCUUAUAUAGCUGUUCAACUGGAUAAGAGAGACAACUUGACAUAUAUGUACAUUUUUGAAAUUCUGUCUGA